This 483-nucleotide ribosomal RNA is filed under the name uncultured bacterium. RNAcentral's name for it is "bacterial SSU rRNA". It matches the Rfam family "Bacterial small subunit ribosomal RNA", at positions 28 to 399 of the family's 1533-position model. The record is from RNAcentral.
GAUGAACGCUGGCGGCGUGCUUAACACAUGCAAGUCGAGCGAGUCAAGUUUUCAACACUGAGUAUUCGGUAAUUAUAAAUGUAAGUAAAGCCAGCGUCAAGCACAUGCUUCAAGUGCUUCACGCGUUAUAAAAGCUUGCUAACACAUAAGACUGAGUAUUGAGUGUUGGAAACUUGACUAGCGGCGGACGGGUGAGUAACGCGUGGGCAACCUGCCCUGUACAGAGGGAUAACAACGGGAAACCGUUGCUAAUACCUCAUAAUACCUUUCGGGGGCAUCCCCUUUAGGUCAAAGAAUUUCGGUACAGGAUGGGCCCGCGUCUGAUUAGCUAGUUGGUGAGGUAAUGGCUCACCAAGGCGACGAUCAGUAGCCGACCUGAGAGGGUGAUCAGCCACACUGGAACUGAGACACGGUCCAGACUCCUACGGGAGGCAGCAGUAGGGAAUAUUGGACAAUGGGCGCAAGCCUGAUCCAGCCAUGCCG